UACAGAGGGGGCAAGCGUCGUUCGGAAUUACUGGGCGUAAAGGGCGCGUAGGCGGCCUGUUAAGUCGAACGUGAAAUCCCCGGGCUCAACCCGGGAACUGCGUCCGAUACUGGCAGGCUUGAAUCCGGGAGAGGGAUGCGGAAUUCCAGGUGUAGCGGUGAAAUGCGUAGAUAUCUGGAGGAACACCGGUGGCGAAGGCGGCAUCCUGGACCGGUAUUGACGCUGAGGCGCGAAAGCCAGGGGAGCAAACGGG
RNAcentral lists this ribosomal RNA (253 nucleotides) under uncultured bacterium. Its description in RNAcentral is "partial 16S ribosomal RNA". It matches the Rfam family "Bacterial small subunit ribosomal RNA", at positions 524 to 776 of the family's 1533-position model. The record is from RNAcentral.